AUUGAACGCUGGCGGCAGGCUUAACACAUGCAAGUCGAACGAGUGGCGGACGGGUGAGUAAUGCUGGGGAAUCUGGCUUAUGGAGGGGGAUAACUGCGGUAAACUGUAGCUAAUGCCGCUUACCAUAGGAUGAGCCCAAGUGGGAUUAGGUAGUUGGUGAGGUAAAGGCUCACCAAGCCGACGAUCUCUAGCUGGUCUGAGAGGGUGACCGGCCACACUGGGACUGAGACACGGCCCAGACUCCUACGGGAGGCAGCAGUGGGGAAUAUUGCGCAAGGGGCGAAACCUGACGCAGCCAUGCCGCGUGAAUGAAGAAGGCCUUCGGGUUGUAAAGUUCUGUCGGUAGCGAGGCGUUAUCUACAGAAGAAGCACCGGCUAACUCCGUGCCAGCAGCCGCGGUAAUUC
RNAcentral lists this ribosomal RNA (405 nucleotides) under uncultured bacterium. RNAcentral describes it as "partial 16S ribosomal RNA". It matches the Rfam family "Bacterial small subunit ribosomal RNA", at positions 30 to 526 of the family's 1533-position model. The record is from RNAcentral.